CCCUUCCCGAGUUGCUAGCAGAGGGCUAGGCCUGGGCGGGAGCUCCCACUUCCGGCAAGGGCAAGAGGUUCCCCGUCGGGAGCCGGUGGAGCCGGAGUGACAUCACUGAGCAGAGAUGGGAGCAAGCAGAAAUGGGGGUCACCAGAUGAGGUGCAGGGAGAGGCGGGGCUCCGGGAGGGCAGGGACUGCCGUGGGGAAAGUCUUUGCCUGCUUAGUUUAGGCUUCCUUCCUGUCCCCUAGAUCUCUCUCUCCCAGGUGGAAACUGGCUUAACUCUGUUUCCCCCACGCGCACACCCUGAAGGCUUCAUGAGAGGUGGUGAAAGCAGACGGGUCAGGGCCGCCGCUCACACCUUUCCAGCUGCUCCUGCCGAGUCCCCAGAAAGUUCGGAGAUGAUGACAACAGCAGCAUUCCAGCCACAGCAUUCUGUUGGCUUUACAUCGGAUUCUGAGCCACGUGAACCAGAGCAGCUCUUUUCUGUGUAUCCAGCUCCAAAGAAUGCAGCGCUCUCCGCUCCCAGCUUCCAAGGAAGCAGGUCUGCUGUCGGUUCCUGUUUUGCACUCAGCAUGCGAUGUUCCUAAGCAGGGGCUUAAACCAUUCCGAGGGGACAGUUCUUCUUGCUCCUUGAGGGGGAAGAUGUUUUUGAAUUAAAGAUGGAU
RNAcentral lists this long non-coding RNA (657 nucleotides) under Neogale vison (American mink). RNAcentral's name for it is "Neovison vison (American mink) lncRNA (ENSNVIG00000014481.1)". Lineage: Eukaryota; Metazoa; Chordata; Mammalia; Carnivora; Mustelidae. The record is from RNAcentral.